RNAcentral lists this long non-coding RNA (25923 nucleotides) under Triticum aestivum (bread wheat). RNAcentral describes it as "long non-coding RNA (TAES_LNC004312)". The record is from RNAcentral. Lineage: Eukaryota; Viridiplantae; Streptophyta; Magnoliopsida; Poales; Poaceae.
UUUUUUUUUGUGUAUUUGAAUCCCUUAUGUGGUUUCUUCAGUGCAUACAGUAUGUGAAUAUCUAAAUGUGUGAUGUGCAUAUCUGAAUGUGUGGUGUGCUGAACUACAGCAAUGCACCAAGUCAGACACCUCGUAUGGUUAGGCGCGCGAGCAGCCGAGAGCAACGCACCAAGUCAGACACCUCGUCUGGUUAGGCGUGCAAGCAGCCGAGAGCAACUCGUCUCCCUCCCCGGCCUCGUUAGUAAUUAACACCUCUGUUGACCCAACAUAGACCACAUACGAACUGGUGGCGUAGUGGCUACAGGUUUUUUCUCACCCACCUCAUCACCUCACCCACCUCACCCAUCUCCUUCAUGGGCCGGCCCGCGGGGCGUGGUAUCCCUGUUUUUUUCAUUAAGUUUUUUGUCUUUUCUUUUCUUAUUUCUAUUUUUAAUUGCUUUGAAUUAAUUCGAGACUGACAAAUUUUAAAAAGUAGCGACUUUUCAAAAAAAUGGUCGGGAAAUCAUAAAAUUUGUACUAAUUUAAAAAAUGUUCAAAAAAUCAUAAAGUUAUCGUGGUUUCAAAAAAUGUCGGUAAUUUUACAAAAAAAUGGCAAAUUAUAAAAAAAUUACAAUUUGGAAAAAAAUUGUUGGGAAAUAAAACCAUGUUCCUGGUUUUGAAAAAAAUGAUCAUGUAUACAAAACAUAUUCACGAAUCUAAAAAAAUAUCCAUGAAAUUUUAGAAAAUUCUCAAAAAAAGCAACUUUUCUGCGAAUUCAAUUUUUUCCCUAAUUUAAGAAAACCAUCGAUUCAAAAAAUGUUUGUCAAUUCAAAAAACUUUUCGAUGUUUUCGAAGUCUUUUAUAUCGGGGUUUUGAUCAUUUUUUGAAAGUCUUUAUAUGUCUAGACAUAUAAAGGAUGCUGAUUGAGUCAUACUUAUAUGACCAGCGUGUAAAUUUUGUAUCUACCGUUGCAACGCACGGGCAUGUUUGCUAGUAAUUUAUAUAUGAAAUAUCAUCAGAAAACUUUGCUCUAUCAAACUGUGUCAUUUUCAUGCACAUAAAAACAACUCAAAACGGUGAAACAGUCGAAACUACAAUAAGGGCUUUAUUGCAUUCCUCCUCACCAUGCAAGGUGCCGUCACGCCAAUCCGAAGUGCCAAGGUGUAAUCAAGUGAUUCUUGUCUUCUUCUUUGAUGUGGGCCAUAGUAGCCGACUAUCCAAGAUUGUACAUGUGUUCUCGUGUGCGAUGAGGAAGAUGUGGGUUGAUCUGUUGCCGCUCGGUGGGUGACACAACGACAACCACCUCUCCGUACUACAACCUUCGAGUGGUGGGACACCCCAGUAUCCUUACCCUUUUUGGCGUUCCUCCUCACCAUGCAAGGUGUCUUCACACCAAUCCGAAGUGCCAAGGCGUAAUCAAGCAAUUCUCGUCUUCUUCUUCGAUGGGGGCCAUAGUAGCCGACGAUCCAAGAUUGUACAUGUGUCCUCAUGUGGGUGAGGAAGGCGUGGGUUGAUCCGCUGCCGCUCGGCUGGUGACACAGCGACAACCACCUCUCCAUACUACAACCUUCAAGUGUUGGGACACCCCAAUAUCCUCUCCGCCUUUUGUGUUCCUUCUCAGCAUGCAAGGUGUCGUCACACCAAUCUGAAUUGCCAAGGCAUAAUCAAGUCGAUUCUCAUCAUCUUUUUUGACAUGGGCCAUAGGAGUCGACGAUCCAAGAUUGUACAUGUCUCCUUUUGUGCGGUGACGAUGCCGGUGUCAUGGCGAUCGAUUUGAGAAGGCGUGUCAGUAACUAACUUCAUUGGAGUUGGCUAAUACAUAGUGUGUAAACAACCAUAUGCUUUACCAAUUCUAGUAACAAAUAAAAUUCUUGUGCUAUACAUAUAUAUAUAUAUAUAUAUAUAUCCUUUGUAAUGUUCUAAAUAUCAUUUGGCGGCAAGAAUACCCGCGCACAUGUACAAUUUUAGCUCCAACGGCGCCAGGCCAAAAAGUCCACCAUCGUAAAUUGACCGAAUGACCCAUCAAGGUGCCAGACAAUUGCACAGAACCAUUCUUCCACCAGGUGCCAUGCGAAGGGCAUGUUAGUAAUUUGACACGCAAGAAAUACUUAAUCCCCACCGCACGCCCGCCCCUACCCCACAGUUCGCCAAAUCCGAUCCCCAUUCCCCUUCCGCCUCCACCGCCGCCGGCCACCGCUUCACCUCCUCCACCGCCGGCCACCGCUUCACCUCUUCCACCGCCAAGCACGACUGUCCUCCCUCUUCCACAUCCACAGCCGGUCACGACCCCACCCCAACUGCCGGCCAAGACCCCCCUCCUCCCCACCAUCCGCCUCCACCGAACCCUAGAACACACCGUCACCUCCUCCACCGCCGAGCAAGACUCCCUCUUCCGCAUCCGCUGCAGGUCACCACCCCACCCGACUAUCGGCCAAGACUCCCCCUCCCCCCUCACCUUCCGCUCCACCGAACCCUAGAACCCCGACCAUGGGGAAGAAGACUGCAGGGAAGAAACACCGAGGAGGCAAGACAGCAGUAGCAGGUACAACCCCUCCCCACGCCUUUAAUAUUCUCUGUUUUUGCUUGUGCUUGAUUUAAAUUGAUAGUGCUUCUGGUUCUAAUACUGUACUGCUAGUGUUCUAGUUCUAGUAAAUAUUGCAAUGCCAAAUUGAUAGUGCUUCUGGUUCUGGCCAAAUUGAUAGUGCUUGAUUUAAAUACACACUGAACAUUUUUAUGGUGCUAGUGCUUCUGGCCAAAUUGAUAGUGCUUGAUUUAAAUUGAUGGUGCUUCUGGUUCUAAUACAGUAUACAAAUUGAUAGUGCUUCUGGUUCUAGUAAAUACUGCAAUGGCCAAACGCCUCUCGGUUUUGCCAAUACUGAAGAAUACCAAAGUAUUUGUGUAGUCUGGUAUUUCUUGCCUACAAGUUCUAAUACUGUGGUUUCUUAAUACUAUGGUUUUCUAAAUAUUGUGCAUCCAAACAUAGCCGAAUAAGAUCCUUGUGCUUCCAAGUAUAGAUUUUGUUCCCAUAUUGAUGCAAACUCAAUAAAAAACAGUAAUUUGUUAUUACUCUUAUGCACAUAGUAAUUCGUGUUUACAUCUGUACUCGUCUUAGAACGACCACUACAUCCUAUGGAAGUGUCGCGCCUCAAAAUGUUCAUGAGGAACAAUGCAAGGCUGUAAUCACUUGGACUACCUACAUUAUCAACAUUGUUUGCAAACAAAGCUGUCAUUUCACCUGAAAAAAGAAAGCCCGAGCAUACUUGUGAUGAAUCUGAAGCUGAGUACCAUCCUAACGAGGAGGAUACCAGUGAAGGAGACUCAUCUGAUGAUAGUUUAAUAGAUGAGAGGGAAGUACUGCAAGACUUAAAGUCCACACCAUCUCCUAGCUCAAAGUUGAAGGUGCUAAAAUCCUCCAACUAGUCAUUCCUAGAUAUGUUGCUUGUUUGCUAUUGCAGCAGAAUUUUUGUUACAUUUUGUUGAUUUAACCAUGUUUUCAUUUCUAUAAGGGGUUGAACGACUGUAAGAAGACCAGUCAGGAAAUAAAUAAGAAAAGAUCCGCAGACAUGGCCCCUGGUGGAAUCAAGCCUCGGCCUCCUAAAAGAAUUCAUGCGGAGCUUCCAACAAAUGCGCGAGUGACAAGGUCAAACAAAAGACUAUUACUAGAUGUUGAUGCAAGUCCUCAAAGUGAAGGGGUGUCGGAUCCUAAACACCAAACACCAAUUGCAAUCCAGAAGCCAUCUGUUUCUGUGCCUGAAGAUGAAGAAACCGUUCCCAACUUUGAUAACAACACACAUGGUGUUGAAGGCAAGUUUUUCUAUCAUACUCAUGUUCUGCCUUAUGGAUCAUUAGCCCUGUUCAUUAAAUUUGAUUGAAGAUGAGCAUACUCUCAUCGGAUGCCUUUUUUAAUAGAUGGCGACCGUGCCCAUUCUGAUGACGACCACUGGAUGACCAAUGGAUCUGAUCUCAUUGCCCGUCAUGAUGAUGGCAACUAGAUGCACUUCAAAGCAGGUGGUAGUGGCGAACCUUGCGAGCGAACACAAAGUGAACCUGAUAAUGACACUCAAGGCAUGUUAUAAAACCCAGAAUAUUUCUAGCAUGUUAUUUGAGUUACAAUAGUGGUGCUUUUGUUAAACUGAACUAAUGAUUCAUGGAGCUUAAAACAUUUCUCUAAAAUUAGACUAAAGCUAUGAGCUUAAUUCAUGUUGUUCUAGUUACUGAUUUUGAAAUGAUGUUCUCCAUUUAUCAGUCCACUUUUGUACUUUCUAAUUUUUAUUGAUAUAUGUAUCCAUUCUUGAUUUACCUUCUUUGUAGGGCCAUGCUCCUAUGAGGAGUCAAGGGAAAGGGGGUCAAUAUUGGAAAAGGCCUUGAAAGGAUCAGUCGACGUCGGGGGGGCAAACUGCCGCUCGUCAUUCCAGAAGGGAGGUUAAGGCCGGAGACACCUCUUCUUGCUGCAAAGUUUGCAACCGAAUGCAACGUCACAGUCAGAGGCCAUGUGCCAGUGUCUAAACACUGGAAGGAUUACAAGGACCCAGAUGGAAAUGUCCGAGAAGGGAUCCUCCAGAACUUUGUAGGCAAAGUUGGUGUAAGUACACGAUCCAACCCUUUCUCAAUCAAAUCGCUAGUAACCUGUCCAUUUUGUGCUAUUUUAAUUGUGUGCAAUCAUGAUUCUUACACAUCUUCUUUCAUCUUACUAGAACAAGUUUGAGAUGGACGUACAAGCUGUGCCAAUUAGGAAGGCUUGUACGCAAAUGCUAAAAGGUGCGAUUCACCAACAACGAUACAGGCUCAAGCAGAAGUAUUUCGAUCCUUUCCUACUCAAUUUGGUGACGAAAACUUCUCCAGUCCGCUCGAUGACUGAUGAACAAUGGAAUGAGCUUGUGGAAAGCUGGAAGGAUCCCAAAAAAUGGUACAUUUCUUCUUGGAGACAAAUAAUAUCUUGGUGCUGCCAACCACCCUUUCUUGCCAGAUUCAAAGAAGGAAAAAAUAGAAACAAUAAGCAUGUAUAUCAGCAACUUAUUAUUGUUUCUUGUACUUCAGUACCGAACACAACACUCCACUACAUCCUCUAUUAGCUAGUAGCAUCAAAAUUGGAUGGUUCUGACUCAUUACUCAUGAGUCAAAGGUCCUGCAAGGUACCAGACUUACAUUUAGGAAAUAAUAUAAGUCAAUAUAUAUGUAAAGCCAAAAAAUUAUGACUUAUUUACUUCUUCGCGUGCUUGUCAAUUAGCUUUGUCAUCCAUUGUUGAUUAUGACAACUCAACAUAUGAUCAAAAUGUCUACUCUGGUGUAAUACACUGCCAUAAAGGUCAUGAUCUGGAACUACUUGAAAACAGCCUUCUGUGUAAUAUAGCUCAUAUUUUAGCAUGAGGUUGUCUAUCAGAAGAUCAAUCAAUUAAAGUUACAAUGUUAUUGUGUGAGCAUCAACCUCUGAAAUGUCGGGGCGUGUAUAUAAGAUGAAUCCUUCUUGAAUGUUUUAUUUGUUUCCAUAAUAACUCUCAAAUAAAUGCAUUUAGCUAACCAAAUCACUGAUCCAUGCAGGAGAUAUGUGGAAUUAAAAAAUAACCGUGCUCAAGUCAAGUUUCACCAAACUACUGGUUCGCGCAGCUACCCCGUGCACUGUGAUAACCUGGUAAGUUAAACAUGUGUCUGGAUGUGCAAACUGUUUAUGUAAAAGUAACUGGCAACUGUUUUCAUGAGAUUUUUUGCAUGGUCUUGACGAAUGUUAUUGACCAUAAGUUCAUGUAAAACUUACCAUUGCGACUAUUGUUCUUCUCUAUAUUAAUUUUUUUAUGCUAGCAUGUUAAGGUUCAAUGUUUUGGGCUCGAACUAUAUCUGACCUCUGCUGCUCCUGCUAUUGUUAGGUACAUUAGGUACGAUAUUUUCUUAGUUUGCUAGCAAUAAUGAAUAUAAAUGUAUAUGAUGCUCCCUUGCCUACAACCCAUACAUGCUUUUUCCCCUUAAUGGUAUAUCAUACUGAAUAAAUGAAUAAACUAGAGUUCAAUAUUGGUACUAUACAUGUUGUUUCUUCACAAAUGUUAGCUUGAUGCAUAUCUGUUGUUUUCAGGGAGACAAAUACAAGGAUAAAGAACCUACUGCACUAGAUUUAUUCAAGGAGUGCCACUACAGCAGCAAAAAGAAAGGCUACACUGAUGAUGUGCAAGCUGCAAUUGUAAGUCAGCUUUCAAAGAUCACCAACCAUCAAAAUGUUAACCUUUUGCCACAUAUCCAGUAGUAGGAUAAUAAAUAAUUGCAAAAAACUACAUGUUAUUUUCUGUCCUUGUGCUAGAAUACUAGCUGUGUUCUGUCCUUGUGCUAUAAUACUUGCCACAUUUUGUCCUUGUGUGAAGUACUUGCUAUUUUCUAUCCUUAUGCUAAAAUACUUGAUGUCCUUGGCCUACAGUACUUGCAGCAUACAUGUAGUGACUAGAGUAUAACUACAUGUCUACAUCUGUACAUGGAAAUGUGGCAUACCAAUAGGCAAAUAACAUAUUUGUCUCCUGUUUUGCUCACCGUGUUUCUUUGCUUGCAUGGCUAGGUUGAAAUGGAAAAGAGUGCAUCUCAGCCUACAGAAGAUGGCCAACAAUCCAACUCUGCAGCCAAGGUUGUGGCUGAAGUUCUUACUAAGCACACUAGGAAGCCAAUGUUUCUUAAGCAUGUGGGGGUCCAGCACGUGCAUGAGAGAUCCAGUCGUAGCGACCGUGAGGCAGAACAGGAAGCGCAGAAGAGGGGAACAGCCAAGCUUCAGGCCCGUGUUGAAACCUUGACCAACCAGUUAAAGGAAUCAGAAGAAGCAAGGAUCAGGCAAGAAGAAGCAAGGAUCAAGCAAGAAGAGGAGACCAAGAAAAAGCAAGCGGAGAUGGAAGCUAAAUUAGACUUCUUACUAAAUCAGAUUACUCCAAGUGAGCUCAAGAGUAAGUUGUUUGUCCAAGCAAAAUUCUGCUGGAAGCUCUGAAUGUGUUGGAACCUGCCUUUUGCUAAAUGUUAGUUUAUAGUGGAAACUGCUUAUGAUGUUGCUGGAUGCAAACUAUUUUGCUGGUAGGUGGAAGUUGUGUUAUGUUUGAUGGUUAGUGGAUUUGGACAGGAAGUUUAUUUAUGUUGGAUGUGUAAUGCUGGAUCAGUACUUAUCUUAUUGCAAUACUGGAGUUUAAUUUGUGUUGUGUGAUGAUGUGAAUCUUUUCUGUCUAUUUGACAUUGUUGUUGUACCGAAAGAGAAGUUCUUCAUUGUGAUGGAGCAAAAUUGGUUAUUGAGCACUAAUGGGCUGGAGUAUAAAUGUGCUGACAAACAGCAUAAUGGACCGGAAGAAACAGGCUAUCAGAUAGAAGUUAAAAAAAUAUGGGUCUGAAAAAAAUUAAUGGGCCAAAUACUCCUGUAUGCCUUCACUUUUUUCGGCUAUUCGGCCUGGCUUGACAAAUUAACUGGGCCAAAAUUAUAUAGGCCCAAAGGCUAGAGGCCCAGAUGAUGCCACAUCAGAUCCAAGUGGAUGCCAUGCAAUACAUCAGGGCAUCCAGACCCACGACGGAUUUGUCCAUCACCGAAACCCGGGCCGAGAGCGGGCCAAGAGGGGCCGGGGGCCGGAUCAGUGACGGUCCGACACCGUCAUAAAUCUGUGACGGCUAGGCAUUUCCGUCACAGCUUGUGCUAUUGGCAAAUUAUGACGCGUGAUACAUGACAGAUCUCAUAUCCGUCACUGAUGCCAAGGCCUGACGGUUUUCUGCUCUGCUGUGAUGGUUUGUAUCUGUCACAGAUAAGAAGGUUUCUUGUAGUGUUCCCCUCAUGUCUACUACACAACCUUCUUCUUGUAGACGUUGUUGGGCCUCCAAGUGCAGAGGUUUGUAGGACAGUAGCAAAUUUCCCUCAAGUGGAUGACCUAGGUUUAUCAAUCCGUGGGAGGCCUAGGAUGAAGAUGGUCUCUCUCAAGCAACCCUACAACCAAAUACCAAAGAGUCUCUUGUGUCCCCAACACACCCAAUACAAUGGUAAAUUGUAUAGGUGCACUAGUUCGGCGAAGAGAUGGUGAUACAAGUGCAAUAUGGAUGGUAGAUAUAGGUUUUUGUAAUCUGAAAAUAUAAAAACAGCAAGGUAACUAAUGAUAAAAGUGAGUGUAAACGGUAUUGCAAUGCUAGGAAACAAGGCCUAGGGUUCAUACUUUCACUAGUGCAAGUUCUCUCAACAAUAAUAAAAAAACUGGAACCUUAUAACUAUCCCUCAACAUGCAACAAAGAGUCACUCCAAAGUCCCUAAUAGCGGAGAACAAACAAAGAGAUUAUGGUAGGGUACGAAACCACCUCAAAGUUAUUCUUUCGGAUCAAUCUAUUAUAGAGUUCGUACUAGAAUAACACCUUAAGACACAAAUCAGCCAAAACCCUAAUGUCACCUAGAUACUCCAAUGUCACCUCAAGUAUCCGUGGGUAUGAUUUAUACAAUAUGCAUCACACAAUCUCGAAUUCAUCUAUUCAACUAACACAUAGAACCUCAAAGAGUGCCCCGAAGUUUCUACUGAAGAAUCAAGAUGAAAACGUGUGCCAACCCCUACGCAUAGGUUCAUGGGCAAAACCCGCAAGUUGAUCACCAAAACAUACAUCAAGUGGAUCAAUAGAAUACCCCAUUGUCACCACGGGUAUCCCACGCAAGACAUACAUCAAGUGUUCUCAAAUCCUUAAAGACUCAAUCCGAUAAGAUUACUUCAAAGGGAAAACUCAAUCCAUUACAAGAGAGUAGAGGGGGAGAAACAUCAUAAGAUCCAACUAUAAUAGCAAAGCUCGCGAUACAUCAAGAUCGUAUCACCUCAAGAACACGAGAGAGAGAGAGAGAUCAAACACAUAGCUACUGGUACAUACCCUCAGCUCCGAGGGUGAACUACUCCCUCCUCGUCAUGGAGAGCGUCGGGAUGAUGAAGAUGGCCACCGGUGAGGGAUCCCCCCUCCGGCAGGGUGCCCGAACAGGGUCCCGAUUGAUUUUUGGUGCUACAGAGGCUUGCGGCGGAGGAACUCCCAAUCUCUUCUGUUCCCCGAAGGUUUUAGGGUAUAUUGGUAUAUAUAGGAGGAAGAAAUACGUCAGGGGAGCCACGAGGGGCCCACGAGGGCGGAGGGCGCGCCCAGGGGGGUGGGCGCGCCCCCUGCCUCAUGCCCUCCUCGUUGAUUCCCUGACGUGCACUCCAAGUCCCCUGGAUUGCUUCCGUUUAAAAAUAACUUUCCCGAAGGUUUCAUUCCGUUUGGACUCCGUUUGAUAUUCCUUUUCUGCGAAACACUGAAACAAGGGAAAAAACAGAAACUGGCACUGGGCUCUGGGUUAAUAAGUUAGUCCCAAAAAUAAUAUAAAAGUGUUUAAUAAAGCCCAUAAACAUCCAAAACAGAUAAUAUAAUAUCAUGGAACAAUCAAAAAUUAUAGAUACGUUGGAGACGUAUCAGCAUCCCCAAGCUUAAUUCCUGCUCGUCCUCGAGUAGGUAAAUGAUAAAAACAGAAUUUUUGAUGUGGAAUGCUACCUAACAUAUUUCUUAAUGUAAUUUUCUCUAUUGUGGCAUGAAUAUUCAGAUCCAUAAGAUUCAAGACAAAAUUUUAAUAUUGACAUGAAAAUAAUAAUACUUCAAGCAUACUAACAAAGCAAUCAUGUCUUCUCAAAAUAACAUGGCCAAAAAAAGUUAUCCCUACAAAAUCAUAUAGUCUGGCUACGCUCUAUCUUCAUCACACAAAAUAUUUAAAUCAUGCACAACCCCGAUGACAAGCCAAGCAAUUGUUUCAUACUUUUGAUGUUCUCAAACUUUUUCAAUCUUCACGCAAUACAUGAGCGUGAGCCAUGGACAUAGCACUAUAGGUGGAAUAGAAUGGUGGUUGUGGAGAAGACAAAAAGGAGAAGAUAGUCUCACAUCAACUAGGCAUAUCAACGGGCUAUGGAGAUGCCCAUCAAUAGAUAUAAAUGUGAGGCAGUAGGGAUUGCCAUGCAACGGAUGCACUAGAGCUAUAAGUAUAUGAAAGCUCAACAAAAGAAACUAAGUGGGUGCGCAUCCAACUUGCUUGUUCACGAAGACCUAGGGCAUUUUGAGGAAGCCCAUCAUUGGAAUAUACAAGCCAUGUUCUAUAAUGAAAAAUUCCCACUAGUAUAUGAAAGUGACAACAUAGGAGACUCUCUAUCAUGAAGAUCAUGGUGCUACUUUGAAGCACAAGUGUGGUAAAAGGAUAGUAGCAUUGUCCCUUCUCUCUUUUUCUCUCAUUUUUAUUUUAUUUUAUUUUUUGUUUGGGCCUUUUCUCUUUUUUAUGGCCCUUUUUUUUCUUUUUUUUCUUUUAUUUUUCGUCCGGAGUCUCAUCCCAACUUGUGGGGGAAUCAUAGUCUCCAUCAUCCUUUCCUCACUGGGACAAUGCUCUAAUAAUGAUGAUGAUCACACUUUUAUUUUCUUACAACUCAAGAAUUACAACUCAAUACUUAGAACAAGAUAUGACUCUAUAUGAAUGCCUCCAGCGGUGUACCUGAAUGUGCAAUGACUCAUGAGUGACAUGUAUGAAAGAAUUAUGAAAGGUGGAUUUGCCACAAAUACGAUGUCAACUACAUGAUCAUGCAAAGCAAUAUGACAAUGAUGAAGCGUGUCAUAAUAAACGGAACGGUGGUAAGUUGCAUGGCAAUAUAUCUCGGAAUGGCUAUGGAAAUGCCAUGAUAGGUAGGUAUGGUGGCUGUUUUGAGGAAGGUAUAUGGUGGGUGUAUGAUACCGGCGAAAGGUGCGUGGUAUUAGAGAGGCUAGCAAUGGUGGAAGAGUGAGAGUGCGUAUAAUCCAUGGACUCAACAUUAGUCAUAAAGAACUCAUAUACUUAUUGCAAAAAUCUAUUAGUUAUCGAAACAAAGUACUACACGCAUGCUCCUAGGGGGAUAGAUUGGUAGGAAAAGACCAUCGCUCGUCCCCGACCGCCACUCAUAAGGAGGACAAUCAAUAAAUAAAUCAUGCUCCGACUUCAUCACAUAACGGUUCACCAUAUGUGCAUGCUACGGGAAUCACAAACUUUAACACAAGUAUCUCUCAAAUUCACAACUACUCCACUAGCACAAAUUUAAUAUCACUAUCUCCAUAUCUCAAAACAAUCAUCAAGUAUGAAACGUCUCUUAGUAUUCAAUGCACUUAUAUGAAAGUUUUUAUUAUACCCAUCUUGGAUGCCCAUCAUAUUAGGACUAGUUUCAUAACCAAAGCAAAUUACCAUGCUGUUCUAAAGACUCUCAAAAUAAUAUAAGUGAAGCAUGAGAGUUCAACUAUUUCUUCAAAAUAAAACCACCGCUGUGCUCUAAAAGGAUAUAAGUGAAGCACUAGAGCAAAUGACAAACUACUCCGAAAGAUAUAUAAGUGAAGAUCAAUGAGUAGUUGAAUAAAUAUUGUAACUAUGUGAAGACUCUCCCAUUUAAUAAUUUCAGAUCUUGAUAUUUUAUUCAAACAACAAGCAAAACAAAAGAAAAUAAAAUGACGCUCCAAGCAAAACACAUAUCAUGUGGUGAAUAAAAAUAUAGCUCCAAGUAAAGUUACCGAUGAACGAAGACGAAAGAGGGGAUGCCAUCCGGGGCAUCCCCAAGCUUAGGCUCUUUGUUGUCCUUGAAUAUUACCUUGGGGUGCCUUGGACAUCCCCAAGCUUAGGCUCUUGCCACUCCUUAUUCCAUAGUCCAUCGAAUCUUUACCCAAAACUUGAAAACUUCACAACACAAAACUCAACAGAAAACUCGUAAGCUCCGUUAGUACAAGAAAAUAAAUCACCACUUUUGGUACUGUAAUGAACUCAUUCUAAAUUUAUAUUGGUGUAAUAUCUACUGUAUUCCAACUUAUCUAUGGUUCAUACCCUCCGAUACUACUCAUAGAUUCAUCAAAAUAAGCAAACAACACAUAGAAAACAGAAUCUGUCAAAAACAGAACAGUCUGUAGUAAUCUGUAUCAAACGUAAACUUAUGGAACUCCAAAAAUUCUACCAAAAUAGGAAGACCUAGAUAAUGUGUUUAUUGAUCUUAUGCAAUUGGAAUCAGUAUUUUAUCACGUUCUGGUGAUUUUAAACAAUUGUUUUCGUGAACAGAAAGUUUCUGGAAUUUUCAGCAAGAUCAAAUAACUAUCAUCCAAGAAGAUCCUAUAGGUCUUACUUGACACAAACACUAAUUAAAACAUAAAACCACAUCUAACCAGAGGCUAGGUGAUUUAUUUAUUCCUAAACAGAACCAAAAAGCAAAAGACUAAAGUAAAAUUGGGUUGCCUCCCAACAAGCGCUAACGUUUAACACCCCUAGCUAGGCAUGAUGAUUUCAAUGAUGCUCACAUAAGAGAUAAGAAUUGAAACAUAUAGAGAGCAUCAUGAAGAAUAUUACUAGCACAUUUAAGUCUAACCCACUUCUUAUGCAUAGGGAUUUUGUGAGCAAACAACUUAUGGGAACAAGAAUCAACUUGCAUAGAAAGGUAAAACAAGCAUAACUUCAAGAUUUUAAGCACAUAGAGAGGAAACUUGAUAUUAUUGCAAUUCCUACAAGCAUACAUUCCUCCCUCAUAAUAACUUUCAGUAGCAUCAUGAAUGAAUUCAACAAUAUAACCAGCACCUAAAGCAUUCUUUUCAUGAUCUACAAGCAUAGAAAUUUUAUUACUCCCCACAUAAGCAAAAUUCUUCUCAUUCGUAAUAGUAGUGGGAGAAAACUCAACAAAACAACUAUCAUGUGAUUGAAAAUUAAGAUCAAGAUGACAAGUUUCAUGGUUAUCAUUAUUCUUUAUAGCAUACGUGUCAUCACAAUAAUCAUCAUAGAUAGGAGGCAUGCUUUCAUCAUAGUAAAUUUUCUCAUCAAAGCUUGGGGACAAAAAAUAUCAUCUUCAUCAAACAUAGCUUCCCCAAGCUUGUGGCUUUGCAUAUCAUUAGCAUCUUGGAUAUUCAAAGAAUUCAUACUAAAAACAUUACAAUCAUGCUCAUCAUUCAAAGAUCUAGUGCCAAACAUUUUAUAGAUUUCUUCUCCUAGCACUUGAGCACAAUUUUCAUUCCAUCAUUCUCACGAAAGAUAUUAAAAAGAUGAAGCGUAUGAGACAAACUCAAUUCCAUUUUUUUGUAGUUUUCUUUUAUAAACUAAACUAGUGAUAAAACAAGAAACUAAAGGAUUCGAUUGCAAGAUCUAAAGAUAUACCUUCAAGCACUCACCUCCCCGGCAACGACGCCGGAAAAGAGCUUAGUUGACGGGGUGUGAGUGCCGCUUACCUAGCCUCCCGGGCAACGGCGCCAGAAAAGAGCUUGAUGUCUACUACACAACCUUCUUCUUGUAGACGUUGUUGGGCCUCCAAGUGCAGAGGUUUGUAGGACAGUAGAAAAUUUCCCUCAAGUGGAUGACCUAAGGUUUAUCAAUCCGUGGGAGGCGUAGGAUGAAGAUGGUCUCUCUCAAGCAACCCUACAACCAAAUAACAAAGAGUCUCUUGUGUCCCCAACACGGUGCACUAGUUCAGCGAAGAGAUGGUGAUACAAGUGCAAUAUGGAUGGUAGAUAUAGGUUUUUGUAAUCUGAAAAUAUAAAAACAGUAAGGUAACUAAUGAUAAAAUUGAGCGUAAACGGUAUUGCAAUGCUAGGAAACAAGGCCUAGGGUUCAUACUUUCACUAGUGCAAGUUCUCUCAACAAUAAUAACAUAACUGGAAUCUUAUAACUAUCCCUCAACAUGCAACAAAGAGUCACUCCAAAGUCACUAAUAGCGGAGAACAAACGAAGAGAUUAUGGUAGGGUACGAAACCACCUCAAAGUUAUUAUUUCGGAUCAAUCUAUUAUAGAGUUCGUACUAGAAUAACACCUUAAGACACAAAUCAACCAAAACCCUAAUGUCACCUAGAUACUCCAAUGUCACCUCAAGUAUCCGUGGGUAUGAUUAUACGAUAUGCAUCACACAAUCUCGGAUUCAUCUAUUCAACCAACACAUAGAACCUCAAAGAGUGCCCCAAAGUUUCUACCGAAGAAUCAAGACGAAAACGUGUGCCAACCCCUAUGCAUAGGUUCAUGGGCGGAACCCGCAAGUUGAUCACCAAAACAUACAUCAAUUGGAUCAACAGAAUACCCCAUUGUCACCACGGGUAUCCCACGCAAGACAUACAUCAAGUGUUCUCAAAUCCUUAAAGACUCAAUCCGAUAAGAUUACUUCAAAGGGAAAACUCAAUCCAUUACAAGAGAGUAGAGGGGGAGAAACAUCAUAAGAUCCAACUAUAAUAGCAAAGCUCGCGAUACAUCAAGAUCGUAUCACCUCAAGAACACGAGGGAGAGAGAUCAAACACAUAGCUACUGGUACAUACCCUUAGCCCCGAGGGUGAACUACUCCCUCCUCGUCAUGGAGAGCGCCAGGAUGAUGAAGAUGGCCACCGGUGAGGGAUCCCCCCUCCGGCAGGGUGCCGGAACAGGGUCCCGAUUGGUUUUUGGUGGCUACAGAGGCUUGCGGCGGCGGAACUCCCGAUCUCUUCUGUUCCCCGAAGGUUUUAGGGUAUAUUGGUAUAUAUAGGAGGAAGAAAUACGUCAGGGGAGCCACGAGGGGCCCACGAGGGCGGAGGGCAUGCCCAGGGGUGGGCGCCCCCCCCUACCUCGUGCCCUCCUCGUUGAUUCCCUUACGUGCACCCCAAGUCCCCUGGAUUGCUUCCGUUCCAAAAAUAACUUUCCCGAAGGUUUCAUUCCGUUUGGACUCCGUUUGAUAUUCCUUUUCUGCGAAACACUGAAACAAGGGAAAAAACAAAAACUGGCACUGGGCUCUGGGUUAAUAAGUUAGUCCCAAAAAUAAUAUAAAAUUGUUUAAUAAAGCCCAUAAACAUCCAAAAUAGAUAAUAUAAUAGCAUGGAACAUUCAAAAAUUAUAGAUACGUUGGAGACGUAUCAUCCCCCCAUGUCAAUAUAUGGAAGGGGGCGCAGCUAGGCAGGCCCUAGGGCUGGCCACCAGCCCUUUGGGGGUGCCCUAGGGCUGCCUCCUCUCCCCUCUCCACCUAUAUGUAUGAGAGGAGGGAGAGGGGCAACACACACCACGAUUCCCAAGCCGUGUGCGGCGCCCCUCUCCCUCUAGUUUGUCCUCGGUCAUAAUUUUCGUAGUGCUCGGCGAAGCCCCGCGGAGAUAGUUGCACCACCACCGUCAUGCUGCCGGAACUCGUCUACUACUUUUUCCAUCUUGUUGGAUCAAGAAGGCGAGGACGUCAUCUAGUUGAACGUGUGCUGAACGCGGAGGUGUCGUACGUUCGGUACUUGAUCGGUUGAAUCGUGAAGGUGUACGACUACAUCAACCGCGUUGAUAAACGCUUCCGCUAAACGGCCUACGAGGGUACGUAGACAUACUCUCCCCUCUUGUAGCUAUGCAUCUCCAUGGAUAUAUCUUGCAUGUGCGUAGAUUUUUUUUCAUGCAACAUUCCCAAACAGUGGUAUCAUGAGCCAGGUCUAUGCGUAGAUGAUAUGCACGAGUAGAACACAAAAGAGUUGUGGAUGGUGAUGUUCAUAUUUCUUACCACCAACUUAUUAUUUUGAUUCAGCGAUAUUGUGGGAUGAAGCGGCCCGGACCAACUUUACAUGUGCACGCACAUGAGACCGGUUCAACCAACUGACAUGCAACUUGUUUUGCAUAAAGGUGGCUUGCGGGUGUUUGUUUCUCCUACUUUAGUUGAAUCAAAUUUGACUACGGCCGAUCCUUGAAGAAGGUUAGAACAGCAAACUUGAUAAUCACCGUUGUGGUUUUACGUAGGUAAGAACGGUUCUUGCUAGUUGCCCGUAGCAGCCACGUAAAACUUGCAACAACAAAGCAGAGGACGUCUAACUUGUUUUUGCAGGGCAUGUUGUGAUGUGAUAUGGUCAAGAUAUGAUGUGAUAUACGUUGAUGUAUGAGAUGAUCAUGUUUUGUAAUAAGUUCAUGACUUGCAUGUCGAUGAGUACGACAACCGGCAGGAGCCUUAGGGUUGUCUUUAAUUAUUGUAUGACCUGUGUGUCAAUCACUAAGCGCCAUGUAAUUGCUUUACUUUAUCGCUAUGCGUCAGCAAUAGUUGUAGAAGCAAUAGUUGGCGAGACGAUCCCGACGCUACGAUGGAGAUCAAGGUGUCGAGCCGGUGAAGAUGGAGAUCAUGUCGAUGCUUUGGAGAUGGAGAUCAAAAGCACAAGAUGAUGAUGGCCAUAUCAUGUCACAUAUUUUGAUUGCAUGUGAUGUUUAUCCUUUAUGCAUCUUAUUUUGCUUAGAAGAAUGGUAGCAUUAUAAGAUGAUCCCUUCACUUAAUUUCAAGAUAAAAGUGUUCUCCAUGAGUAUGCAUCGUUGCUAAAGUUCAUCGUCUCGAAGCACCUCGUGAUGAUCGGGCGUGAUAGACUCUACAUUCAGAUACAACGGGUGUAAGCCAGUUUUGCACAUGCAGAAUACUUGGGUUAAACUUGACGAGCCUAGCAUGUACAGACAUGGUCUCGGAACACAGGAGACCAAAUGGACAUGAGUCAUAUAGUAGAUAUGAUCAACAUAUAGAUGUUCACCAUUGAUGACUACCCCACCUCACGUGAUGAUCGGACAUGGGUUAGUUGAUUUGGAUCAUGUAUCACUUAGAUAACUUGAGGGAUGUUAAUUUAAGUGGGAGUUCAUUAGUAAUUUGAUUAAUUGAAGUGAAUUUACCAUGAACUUAGUCUUAACAGUUUUUUGCAUAUCUAUGUUGUAGAUCAAUAGCCCGUGCUACCGUUCCCUUGAAUUUUAAUGCGUUCCGAGAGAAAGCUAAGUUGAAACAUGAUGGUAGCAACUACACAGACUGGGUCCACAACUUGAGGAUUAUCCUCAUUGCUGCACAGAAGAAUUAUUUCCUUGAUGCACCGCUAGGUGACAGACCUGCUGCAGGAGCUACUAAAGAUGUUAUGAAUAUCUGGCAGGCUCGAUCCUAUGACUACUCAAUAGUUUAGUGUGCCAUGCUUUACGGCUUAGAACCGGGACUUCAAAGACGUUUUGAACACCACGUACCAUAUGAGAUGUACCAAGAGCUAAAGCUGAUAUUUCAAGCUAAUGCCCGGGUUGAGAGGUAUGAAGUCUCCAACAAGUUCUAUAGUUGUAAGAUGGAGGAGAACAGUUCUGUCAUUGAACACAUACUCAAAAUGUCUGGGUAUCAUAACCACUUGACUCUGCUGGGAAUCUUCCAGUUGAGAUCAUUAUUGAUAGAGUUCUUCAGUCACUGCCACCAAGCUACAAAGAAAAAGGGCAAGGGAUGACGAAAAUUAUUCCCGAGGUGUUCGCAAUGCUUAAGGUCGUGGAGGUAGAAAUCAAGAAGGAGCAUCAAGUGUUGAUGGUUAACAAGACCACUAGUUUCAAGAAAAAGGGCAAGGGAAAGAAAGGAAACUUCAAGAAGAAUCGCAAGCAAGUUGUCGCUCCCGUGAAGAAGCCCAAAGCUGGACCCAAGCCUGAAACGGAGUGCUUCUAGUGCAAAGGGAAUGGUCACUGGAAGCGGAACUGCCCCAAAUACUUGGGGGAUAAGAAGGAUGGCAAAGUGAACAAAGGUAUAUUUGAUAUACAUGUUAUUGAUGUGUUCCUUACUAGUGCUCGUAGUAGUGCCUGGGUAUUUGAUAAUGGUUCAGUUGCUCAUAUUUGUAACUCGAAAAAGAUUGGCUAAGGACGAGGUGACCAUGCGCGUCGGGAAUGGUUCCAAGGUCGAUGUGAUCGUCGUCGGCACGCUACCUCUACAUCUACCUUCAGGAUUAGUUUGAGACCUCAAUAAUUGUUAUUUGGUGCCAGCGUUGAGCAUGAACAUUAUAACUGAAUCUUGUUUAAUGCGAGACGGUUAUUAACUUAAAUCAGAGAAUAAUGGUUGUUCUAUUUAUAUGAGUAAUAUCUUUUAUGGUCAUGCACCUUUGAUGAAUGGUCUAUUCUUGUUCAAUCUUGAUCAUGGUGAUACGCAUAUUCAUAAUAUUGAUGCCAAAAGAUGCAAAAUUGAUAAUGAUAGUGCAACAUACUUGUGGCACACCGUUUAGGUCAUAUUGGUGCAAAGCGCAUGAAGAAACUCCAUGUGGAUGGACUUUUGGAAUCACUUGAUUGUGAAUCAUUUGAUACUUGAGAACCAUGCCUUAUGGGUAAGAUGACUAAAACUCUGUUCUCCGGAACAACGGAGCGAGCUAAUGACUUAUUGGAAAUAAUACAUACCGAUGUAUGCGGUCCGAUGAGUGUUGACGCACGCGGUGGGUAUCGUUAUUUUCUAACCUUCACAGAUGAUUUAAGUAGGUAUGUGUAUAUCUACUUAAUGAAACACAAGUCUAAAACAUUUGAAAAGUUCAAAGAAUUUCAUAGUGAAGUGGAGACUUAUCGUAACAAGAAAAUAAAGUUCUACGAUCCGAUCGCGGAGGAGAAUAUUUGAGUUACGAGUUUCACCUUCAUUUAAAACAAUGUGGAAUUGUUUCACAACUCAUGCCACCUGGAACACCACAGCGUAAUGGUGUGUCCGAACGUCGUAACCAUACUUUGUUAGACAUGGUGCGUUCUAUGAUGUCUCUUACCGAUUUGCCUUUAUCAUUUUGGGGUUACGCAUUAGAGACAGCCGCAUUCACGUUAAAUAGGGCACUAUCUAAAUAUGUUGAGACGACACCGUGUGAACUUUGGUUUGGCAAGAGACCUAAGAUGUCGUUUCUUAAAGUUUGGGGAUGCGACACUUAUAUCAAAAGGCUUCAGAAGCUCGAACCCAAAUCGGAGAAGUUCAUCUUCAUAGGAUAGCCUAAGGAAACUAUUGGGUACACCUUCUACCACAGAUCUGAAGGCAAGAUCUUUGUUGCCAAGAAUGGGUCAUUUCUAGAGAAGGAGUUUCUCUCGAAAGAAGUGACUGGGAGGAAAGUAGAGCUUGAUGAGGUAAUUGUACCUUCUCUCGGAUUGGAUAGUAGAACAUCAGAGAAAACCGUUCCCGUGAUGCCUACACCAACUAGAGAAGAAGCUAACGAUGAUGAUCAUGAAACUUCAGAUCAAGUUACUACUAAAUAACGUAGGUCAACCAGAACACGUACCGCACUAGAGUGGUACGGUAAUCCUAUCCUGGAAGUCAUGUUGUUAGACAACGGCGAACCUACGAACUAUGAAGAAGUUAUGAUGAGCCCAGAUUCCGACAAAUGGCUUGAGGCCACAAAAUCUGAGAUACGAUCCAUGUAUGAGAAUAAAGUAUGGACUUUGGUGGACUUCCCCAAUGAUCGGCAAGCCAUUGAGAAUAAAUGGAUCUUCAAGAAGAAGACAGACGCUGAUGGUAAAUAACCGUCUAUAAAGCUCGACUUCUCACAAAAGGUUUUCGAUAAGUUCAAGGGGUUGACUCGAUGAGACUUUCUCACCCAUAGCGAUGCUUAAGUCUGCCCGAAUCAUGUUAGCAAUUGCCGCAUUUUAUGAUUAUGAAAUCUGGUAAAUGGACAUCAAAACUGCAUUCCUUAACGGGUUCCUUAAAUAAGAGUUGUAUAUGAUGCAACCAGAAGGUUUUUUCGAUCCUAAAGGUGCUAACAAAGUGUGCAAGCUCCAGUGAUCCAUUUAUGGACUGGUGCAAGCAUCUCGGAGUUGGAAUAUAUGCUUUGAUGAUGUUAUCAAAGCAUAUGGUUUUAUACAGACUUACGGAGAAGCCUGUAUUUACAAGAAAGUGAGUGGAGCUCUGUAGCAUUUCUGGUGUUUAAUGUGGAUGACAUAUUACUGAUUGGAAAUGAUAUAGAAUUUCUGGAUAGCAUAAAAGGAUACUUGAAUAAGAAUUUUUCAAUGAAAGACCUCGGUGAAGCUGCUUAUAUAUUUGGCAUCAAGAUCUAUAGGGAUAGAUCGAGACGCUUAAUAGACUUCCACAAAGCACAUACCUUGACAAAGUUCUGAAGAAGUUCAAAAUGGACCAGUGAAAGAAAGGGUUCUUGCUUGUGUUGCAAGGUGUAAAAUUGAGUCAGACUCAAUGCCCGACCACGGCAGAAGAUAGAGAGAAAAUGAAAGUCAUUCCCUAUGCCUCAGCCAUAGGUUCUAUUAUGUAUGCCAUGUUGUGUACCAGACCUGAUGUGUGCCUUGCCAUAAGUUUGGCAGGGAGGUACCAAAGUAAUCCAGGAGUGGAUCACUGGACCGCGGUCAAGAACUCCUGAAGUACCUGAAAAGGACCAAGGAUAUGUUUCUCGUUUAUGCGGGUGACGAAGAGCUCGUCGUAAAGGGUUACAUCGAUGCUAGUUUCGACACAGAUCCGGAAGACUCAAAUUCGCAAGUUGGAUACGUAUUUAUAUUCAAUGGUGGAGCUAUCAGUUGGUGCAGUUCCAAGCAGUGAGUCGUGGCGGGAUCUACGUGUGUAGUGGAGUACAUAGCUGUUUCGGAAGCAAGGCAUGAAGGAGUCUGGAUGAAGGAGUUCAUAUCCGAUUUGGGUGUAAUACCCAGUGCAUUGGGUCCAAUGACAAUCUUUUGUGACAACACUGGAGCAAUUGCCUUGGCGAAAGGAAUCCAGGUUUCACAAGAGAACCAAACACAUCAAGAGACGCUUCAACUUCAUUCGUAAAAAGGUCAAGGAUGGAGACAUAGAAAUUUGCAAAAUACAUACGGAUCUGAACGUGGUAGACCCAUUGACUAAAUCUCUUCCAUGGGCAAAACAUGAUCAGCACUAAGACUCCAUGGGUGUUAGAUUCAUUACUAUGUAAUCUAGAUUAUUGACUCUAGUGCAAGUGGGAGACUGAUGGAAAUAUGCCCUAGAGGCAAUAAUAAAGUUGUUACUAUAUUUCCUUAUUCAUGAUAAAGGUUUAUUAUCCAUGCUAGAAUUGUAUUGACCGGAAACUUAAACACAUGUGUGGAUAUAUAAACAAAUACCGUGUCCUUAGUAAGCCUCUACUAGACUAGCUCGUUGAUCAAGACAUGGUUAAGGUUUCCUAACCAUAGACAUGUGUUGUCACUUGGUAACGGGAUCACAUCAUUAGGAGAAUGAUGUGAUGGACAAGACCCGUCCAUUAGCAUAGCAUAUGAUCAUUCAGUUUAUUGCUACCGCUUUCUUAAUGUCAAAUACAUAUUCCUUUAACCAUGAGAUCAUGCAAUUCCUGAAUACGAAAGGAAUACCUUCUGUGCUACCAAACGUCACAACGUAACUGGGUGAUCAUAAAGAUGCUCUACAGGUAUCUCCGAAGAUGUCUGUUGAGUUGGCAUGGAUCAAGAUCGGGAUUUCUCACUCCGCGUAUCGCAGAGUUUCUGUGGGCCCUCUCAGUAAUACACAUCACAAGAAGCUUGCAGGCAAAGUUGCUAAGGAGUUAGUUACGAGAUGAUGUAUUACGAAUGAGUAAAGAGACUUGCCAGUAACGAGAUUGAACUAGGUAUGAAGAUACCGACAAUCGAAUCUCGGGCAAGUAACAUACCAACAAACAAAGGGAAUUAUGUAUGUUGUCAUAAAGGUCCGACCGAUAAACAUCUUUGUAGAAUAUGUAGGAACCAAUAUGGGCAUCCAGGUCCCGCUAUUGGUUAUUGACCGGAGAGGCGUCUCGUUCAUGUCUACAUCAUUCUCGAACCCGUAGGGUCCGCACGCUUAACGUUCGUUGAUGAUAUAGUAUUAUAUGAGUUAUGUGAGUUGGUGAUCGAAUGUUGUUCGAAGUCCCGGAUAAGAUCACGGACAUGACGACGAGCUCCAGAAUGGUCCGGAGGUAAAGAUUGAUAUAUAUAUAUAUAUAUAUAGGACGAUGCCAUUUGGUAACCGGAAAGGUUUCAGGAUGUACUGGGUAUUCAUCGGAGUGCUGGAAGGGGUUCCGGGAGGCCACCUGUAAAUGGUGGGCCUUAUGGGCCAAAGUGGGCAAGCACACCAGCCCAAAAGGGGGCUGGCGCACCCCUCCACCCCUGCGCAUGCUCCAAGGAAGGGGGAGGCGCCCUAUGGCAGCCUGCCCCCCUUUCCUCCCCCCAUGUCCAUAUAUGGAAGGGGCGCAGCUAGGGAGGCCCUAGGGCUGGCCGCCGGCCCUUUGGGGGCGCCCUAGGGCUGCCUCCUCUCCCCCCUCCACCUAUAUAUAUGAGAGGAGGGAGAGGGGCAACACAUACCACGAUUCCCAUGCCGUGUGCGGCGCCCCUCUCCCACUAGUUUGUCCUCGCUCAUAAUUUUCGUAGUGCUCAGCGAAGCCCUGCGGAGAUAGUUGCACCACCUCCGUCACCAUGCCGUCGUGCUGCCGGAACUCAUCUACUACUCCGCCCGUCUUGCUGGAUGAAGAAGGCGAGGACGUCAUCAAGCUGAAUGUGUGCUGAACGCGGAGGUGCCGUACGUUCGGUACUUGAUCGGUUGGAUCAUGAAGGUGCACGACUACAUCAACCGUGUUGAUAAUCGCUUUCACUAAACGGUCUAUGAGGGUACGUAGACAUACUCUCCCAUCUCAUAGCUAUGCAUUUCCAUGGAUAGAUCUUGCGUGUGUGUAGAAUUUUUUUGUUUUCCAUGCAACGUUCCUCAACACGCAGCCCACUACACCCAUCUACCCUAACCCUCUCGCCGGAGCCGUCUGAUCUCGAUCUGAUGGUUCGAAACUGACCCAAAUCAACUUCCCUGCCUAUUUAAGCAACACCUACCCUUCCAUUAGUGGCUAACCCUAAAGCCUAGCCAGACAAACUCCCUCCAAUCUCGAGCACGCCGCCGCCCACCUGGUCCCCUCCUUGAUUUCCCCUCCUGUCCAAUCCAACCAGAUCCAAUGCAGAAACCUCCACCUGCUAUGAGCCGUCGGAUCGAGGAUCCAACGACCCAGAUUGCCCCCAAGCCCCAGGCUCGCACCGCCCCAUCCCUGUAGCCUCCUCCUUGCUCGAUCCUGAGCAGGAGAGCCGCCCCGCCGGCCAGCUAGGCCACCGGAGUCCCAACCUCGCGUCGCCUGCGCCCCUGCCCUUCUCCUCCUUCCUUUCCUUCUUCCAUUCCUAACCUCUCGGCUCUUCCUCUCUCCCCUUCGCAGGAACCUCCCUGACGCCAUGAACUCCGUCGCGCCGUCAACCUCACGGGGCCCAUCGCCCUCGUUCGCCGCCAGAUCCGGGGACGCCAUGCUCGGAUCCAUCCGUUCCCGGCUUCAACGAUCCUACCGCCGCCUGCUAGCCGGAGAUCGAGUGCGCCGCGUCCUGUUCAUCCCUGCAUCGCGCCGCAAGCUAAGUCCUCGUCCUCCCCGAUGUUCCGCCGCCCGUUCCCGGCCUCCCCCAUGUACAGCUCGUCGUCUGCAGCCUUCAUUCGCGCCCCUGCCUCACCACGGACGCGCCUCCCCUGUGUCGCGUGCUUCGCGGGAGCCCGCCUGCGACCUCCUCUGCUUCGAGCCCCGUCCUGCAUCGAGCGAACGCUCGUCCUCGAGCGUUGACUGCCAGCUUGCCUCCACCUCCUCACCGAUGGCCCAAGGCCCAACUUGAGAAACUCCCCCAGCCCAGUUCCCCAGUUCAAUUCAGUUUCAGCCCGAUGCGUUUUUUUCCCUGUUGCGAAUUUACUUAUUGUCUGGAGAAAACAGUUUUACAGAAAAACCCUCCAUGUUCAUGCAUUAAUAAUUCACAAACCAGGCAUCGGAUUAAAAUGUUUUAUAUAUGUAAAAUGCUUAGAAUUUCAUGUAGUUUCGUAAUAUGCAACUUUCAUCCAUGUUAAAAAUGUUUAAAAUGCUGUUUGCAUUUAAUUUUUUAAAUGACAUGUUAAAAUGGUUUAUUUCAUAACUAAAUAAUUGUAGCUCCGAAUUAAAUAAACUUUAUAUGUAAACGGUCUAGAAAAAUGCAUAGAUUAACAUGGUGCACUUAUUCUGCAUGUUUAACAACUCUCAAAUAUGGUUUAGAGCAGAACAGUAGCAAAUUCGAAAAUGGCUUUUGGGGCGACUUGGAAAUUUAUAAUAUCCGGUUGUAGAGAACUUGACACUAAACUUCAAAUAAAAUACACCGACAGUGUGUGUAACCGUGACCGUCUCUUUUCGAGGGAGUUCGGAAGAUAACAUGGUGGGGUUAUGUUUGACUCGUAAGUAGUUCAAGAUCACUUAUUGAUCAUUACUAGCUGCGACCGUUAUGCGUAGUUACUCUUCUUAUUCUUGUACUCGUAAGUUGACCACCAUACAAAUGCUUAAUGCUUGCUGCAACCUCACCACUUAUCCAUUCCUUACUCAUUAAACUUUGUUAGUUUUGAUACACAUGGUAAUGGGAUUGCUGAGUCCUAGUGACUCACAGAUUACUACAACAACAGUUGCAGGUACAGGUAAUGUGAUGAUCUGAUGUGAGAGCGAUGCUUGCUUGUUUUGGAGUUCUUCUGAUUCUUCUUCCUCGAUCAAAGUAUAGGUUUCAGGUUGGGAGCCUGAGAUUAGCAGGGUGGAUGUCGUUCUUCUUUUUCGUUUGAUUUCAUCCGUAGUCGGAUCCUGCUCUUCUAUAUGAUGAUUGCUAUGUAUUGAUGUAUUGAUGUAUUCGUGUUGUAGCUUGUGGCGAGUGUAAGCCUUUAUCUUGUAUUCUCAUCUAACCCGUACAUGGUAUGUUGUAAUGAUAUUCACUUUGCUAUGCGCUCGAAAUGCGGUUGUGCCCUAAUCAUGAAUUCAUCACGUGAUUGGGAUAGAAUCCCAUCUUGGGCGCUACAGACGGAUCCUUCAGGCGCGCACACUCCGGUGUGAGAUGGCGGCCUUAGACAUAGGCUUCUCGCCGCACGACAGGCUCUAGUCUAAGUCGACCAUGGCAUCGCAUUAGACAAGGCGGCAAUAGCUCCCAGCAUGGAGCGCACGAUGACGACGACACCACAAUCAUGGCAUUCGACCUCGGCGUGAGUUGGCCAAUGGCCAUCAUGCCCUGCCAGCUCCCCUGCUCUGGAUUGACGCCCACAGUAGCAAGGCGGCCGAUCCCAUGGCGGUGGCACGUGGGGGCAGAGAAGGAUGGCGUGGCAGAGGAAGCACCCAGCAGAGGGGUAACCCUGACCGAGCUUGGAAGGAACAAAGAAGGCGAUUGCGCGAGGGGGCAGCGAGGGAGGGCGUGGCAGAGGAAGCACACAAUGAAGGGGAGUCCCUAGCCGGGUUUGCGAGGAACAAAGAAGGGGAUUGAUGUGAGAGAGGCAUGGGCUGUCGCACGGUUAGAUGAUCUGGGAACGGGAAUCACACAAGAAAAAACCCGGAGGCAAACAGAAAAAAAAAGCACGAAUGAAGAGGGAGCGGAAGGCCAGAGCGACAUGAGAGGAAACCUUAUUCAUUUCAGUUUUUAUUAGCGAGAGAGAAAAAACCAAGAUGAUGCAAUGGUGGGAGGUGAGGAAAGACUACCAACUCCUCUUUUUGUAUUCCUAAUUUUUUUGAGGGGUUUUAUAUUCCUAAAUAAAACUCCCCUUUAGAAGCUAUGGUUGGAGAGAUUACAAGUUGGGCAGUGAUAGCGAACCAAUCUGUGGUUGGAUGGUUAUGUGAACAAUGGUAUCCCGGGCCCAUCACGGUUCAAGAACUGGUGCUCGCAUUUAUUCUGGAUUUAUUUUAGGAUUUCCGGUGAUACGCAUUCAGUAGGAGGAGACGUUCCCGUCCACUACGAGGUGUCUACGAUGACUUUGUAAAAUCUAAGUGAUAUGCCGGCUCAGUCUCUCGGAGGUGCUCAUAGGAUAUGGUGGUCAUGCGUGUAUUUAUAAGGAUGAGUAUAUGCACGUAUAUACGAGCACUUGUGUCUGAACUGAUGUAAAAAAAAGUUGGGCAGCAAUCCAGACGCAUAUUGUUGGUGUGAUAAAAGGGAGGUGCGUCCAUAAAAAAAAGGGAGGUGCGCACCCCACUGAUCCUAUGCAUUUUCUGCUAAAGCUGAUAAAGUAAACACAAGUAAUAUAAAAAGGGAGUAGAAGACUAUUUACACACGUUCCAAAACAUACAAAAUGGCUGGUGGAAAGAAAGAACGAUACACCAAGGAUGACUUGGAAACUACACUUGAUAAAAUAAUGAUUAACAAUCACAGGGCAGUUCUUCCCGGCAUUGAGGCAUGGUAGUAAAUGCAAAAUAACAACAAUCGGAGGACUUCCAUUCCCCACUGUGGCAUAGGAGAACAUGAACCGACAACCAUAGCUUCUGAUUUGCAUAAUAUGAUCUGAUAGUUUCUUUACGGCGCAUAAACACACACCAGUUAGAUUCCAG